UACGUAGGGGGCGAGCGUUGUUCGGAAUUACUGGGCGUAAAGGGCGCGUAGGCGGCACGGCAAGUCGGGAGUGAAAGGCCUGGGCUCAACCGAGGAACUGCUUUCGAGACUGCCGAGCUAGAGUGCGGAAGGGGCAACUGGAAUUCCCAGUGUAGCGGUGAAAUGCGUAGAUAUUGGGAAGAACACCUGAGGCGAAGGCGGGUUGCUGGGCCGACACUGACGCUGAGGCGCGAAAGCCAGGGGAGCAAACGGG
RNAcentral lists this ribosomal RNA (253 nucleotides) under uncultured bacterium. RNAcentral describes it as "partial 16S ribosomal RNA". It matches the Rfam family "Bacterial small subunit ribosomal RNA", at positions 524 to 776 of the family's 1533-position model. The record is from RNAcentral.